Helianthus annuus (common sunflower) is the source of this 187-nucleotide long non-coding RNA. RefSeq lists it as uncharacterized. The transcript is spliced from 2 exons. NCBI's taxonomy places the organism in Eukaryota, Viridiplantae, Streptophyta, Magnoliopsida, Asterales, Asteraceae. The record is from RefSeq and is a predicted model, not a curated record.
UUCAUUUUCAUCAUCUUCGUUCAUCAUCUUCAUCAGCUUCAUCUUCAUCAUCUUCAUCGAUAACAACCCAAGGUAAAACAGAGAAUGGCUGCGGAUGUAAAGAUACGCAAAACACCAACUACGAAGGCGAGAACACUUGACAACCUCCUAGAAGAUGGUGCGGUGCACAUAAGGAAGUGAUUGAUAU